RNAcentral lists this unclassified non-coding RNA (661 nucleotides) under Hevea brasiliensis (rubber tree). The record is from RNAcentral. Lineage: Eukaryota; Viridiplantae; Streptophyta; Magnoliopsida; Malpighiales; Euphorbiaceae.
AAAACUACAAGUACAUGAUCCACGGCUAGGGGUCAAGUAAAUGGGUUUAGGGGGUCAAUGCCUUGCCCACCCCCAUUUCCCGCUACCCGUGAUAAAUAAGCCAUGUCUUUUUUCAUACACAAGUGAUAGAUGCUCGUUAUAUAAUUACACUUUAUCAUCAUGGAACCACCAUCUUGUCUCUUUGGGAGAUCUGCCACUCUUACAGUUCUUCACAUAGCGAUCAUCAUCAACAGGGCGUUGCUUCACAGUCGCGCUCGACAGCAUGGAGAGGAUGCUUAUACAGAUAGAACUCACAGUCAUAGCUGGGGACCAUGAAUCAUAGAGAAUAUCUAAACAGAUAUGUCCAUUGCUAUAGAUGUGCGCAUGUAGAGGAGCUGGUGGGAGAAAAAUCACCUGUGGUGCUUCCAUAGGAUAAUGUUCGGGAAAAUCCACUUGAAGCUGAUAAGUUUCAUUCGCAUAUAGAGUUCCCGGGGCUCCGUUGACUUCAAUCACCCAUCGUUGGAGAUUAUCAGUGACUUUGUGCUUGAAACCUGUAGGGGGAUUCAACUGCCAUUCAGCGAGCUCCUUCUGCAAUCUGUUACACGCGAUCUUGCUUAAAGCCAUGAAAUUAGAGCAUGGACUUCUAGAAGAGACCUUGCGUGAAGGAGCAGAGGAGCUUGUC